Durio zibethinus is the source of this 3278-nucleotide RNA transcript. It is a transcript of the gene named putative serine/threonine-protein kinase PBL3, with no coding region annotated. NCBI's taxonomy places the organism in Eukaryota, Viridiplantae, Streptophyta, Magnoliopsida, Malvales, Malvaceae. The record is from RefSeq and is a predicted model, not a curated record.
GAGUGUAAAUAGAAGUGCUCUUGAAGAAGAGAAUUCAUGCUUGCCAUCAACAACAAGCCAGGCAAGCAAACGAGUCGAGUUGCCUGCCUUUGUGGCUGCAAACGUCAUAGCUAAGGCCAAGUUCCCCUUGGCCCUGCCCACGCGUUUGUCUUGUCUUGUCUUAUCUUGUCUAGUCUGGUCUCUCUCCCCCACACCCCGGAUGACAAGAAAAAAAACCCGAACUCCAGUUUCUUCCCUGAGCUUAGCUUCUCUCUGUUUCUUUCUUUUUUGAUUUUUCCAUUUUCUCCUUAUUUUCAACCGAUAAUUUAGUUCUUUUUCAAAAGUUGUGCAGCUUGACUGACCAAAUCAUACCAAACUAAAGCUCCAUGGAAGAGAAACUGAUUCUGAUCCAAAGAGAGCCGUUUUUCAGUUUCCUUUCUUCUUGGGAUCUAAGAAAUUUCCAUGACUUGUUGAAUUGUUAGCUCUUAUAAAAGAAAAGAAAGAAGAAAAGAGAAGUAUUUUUUUUUCUUUUUUAUUUUCUUUUGUGAAGUACUAGUUUCUUUCUGAUGGGCAACUGCUUGUCUUCUUCUACUAGAGUUAAUUACAGCCAAAGCCCUCGUGCAACUUCUGCAUCAGGAGGCUCAAGAAUUUCCAGCAAGACCAGUCGUUCUUCAGCUCCUUCAAGCUUGACCAUUCCAUCUUUCAGUGAAACAAGUAGUACUGGAUGUCUUCCAACACCAAGGACCGAAGGAGAAAUAUUGUCAUCCCCCAAUUUGAAACCUUUCUCAUUCAAUGAGUUGAAGAAUGCCACCAGAAACUUUCGUCCUGACAGUCUCCUUGGUGAAGGUGGUUUUGGUUAUGUUUUUAAAGGAUGGGUUGAUGAACACACAUUAGCUGCUGCAAAGCCUGGAUCAGGAAUGGUUGUUGCUGUCAAGAAGCUUAAACCUGAAGGUUUUCAAGGUCACAAAGAGUGGUUGACGGAAGUUGAUUAUCUUGGCCAACUUCAUCAUCCAAAUCUGGUUAAGUUGAUUGGAUAUUGCUCAGAGGGUGAGAACCGACUUUUGGUCUAUGAGUUCAUGCCCAAGGGAAGCUUAGAGAAUCAUCUGUUUAGAAGAGGGCCACAGCCACUCUCUUGGGCAGUGAGGCUUAAGGUUGCCAUAGGUGCUGCUAGAGGGCUCUCUUUCCUUCAUGAUUUAAAAUCCCAAGUCAUAUACCGUGAUUUCAAAGCUUCUAAUAUUCUACUAGAUGCGGAAUUCAAUGCAAAACUUUCUGACUUUGGAUUGGCCAAGGCAGGGCCUACUGGUGAUAAGACUCAUGUGUCAACUCAGGUCAUGGGUACUCAUGGCUAUGCAGCACCUGAAUAUGUUGCUACAGGUCGAUUGACAGCUAAGAGUGAUGUAUACAGCUUUGGAGUUGUGCUGCUUGAACUACUGUCGGGACGAAGUGCUGUCGAUAAAACAAAAAUUGGUGUGGAGCAGAAUCUAGUAGACUGGGCAAAACCCUAUUUGCGUGACAAAAGAAAAUUAUUUCGAAUUAUGGACACUAAGUUGGGGGGUCAGUACCCCCAGAAAGGUGCCUAUACAGCUGCUACCCUUGCUUUACGGUGCCUAAGUAGUGAAGCUAAACUCAGGCCUAGAAUGUCUGAAGUUUUGGCAGCAUUGGAGCAGCUCGAGGCCCCUAAAAAUGCAUCCAAACACCCUCAAUCAGAACAGCACUCAGUUCCACUUCAUGUUCGGAAAUCUCCGAUGAGACAGCAUCGUUCUCCUUCGCAUCUAACACCCAGUGCAUCUCCGUUACGAUCUCACAGGCAAUCCCCACGAGUACAUUGAUUCCAUCCGUAAAUCUCCCAUGUCCAGGAUCCAUUAAAAGCUUUUGGGGCAAGAUUUUAGUGUAUGCGUAAAUCAGAAGCAUAGAAAUUAGUAUCAUGAUAAGAGACUAACAGCAUCAAGAAGGACAUUGGAGGCUUUAAGGUCACGAUGAAUAACUGGCCUCGCACGAGCAUGAAGUUGGAGUCACCUAAUCCCAAUGUGGUCUUAGUUCUGUGUUGGGUUUGAUGGCAUAUCAAGCUUUAAGGAAGUAAGUUUGUAAUGUUUCAAUCUUUUGUUGGGAUAUUUUGAGAAUCUGUUAUUAUAUAUAUGUAGAGAUUUGAACUCAUACUUGUAAAGCACUUUUUGUUAAACAAAAUCGUGAGACUUUUGAGUCAAAGCGGAUAAUAUCUCACAGGUUGCUGUGGGUUUCUACAUCAGUUGACAAUGUUGUUGGUGGAUAGGGGGGCACAGGGAAAGGGGAUGACAUGAGAGAUCCCACAAUCAUGUUCCACGAACAUGAGUGGAAGAGACGGUUUCAUCAACGGCAAUGAAUUACAUAAAAAGAUGAAGUAGUCAGAGUUACCCCAAACACUACAUUAGGGCAAAAUUUUCCUCGGUUAAGUGUCUUAAAAUAGCCGUAGUGAAGUGGUCAGGGGAACUCCAGGGAACAGCUGACAUUCCCUUUCUCAUCUUACAGUUUCUUGGUAUAUUAAUGGCACAGAAGGUUCACUGCAUAUAUAGGCAAGGUUCACCAAGCUUAGAUAUUGACACAGCUCGAAAUGGUGACCUGUGGUUGGGAAAAUGACUGGGAGUAAGUGAAAUUCACAGCUUUCAUGUUGCUGGAACUGAACCUGGUCAAUAUUUGAGGGAAAAUAAAGGGUAUAGAACAAUAGUAGCUAGUGGACAGAAAGCUUUCUGGAUUUUUCCAACUCUUUCAUCUAUUAGGUCUAUCCUUUUCAACUUUUUCUUUUCACUUUUCAGAAGGAAAAAACCUUUUCAAGUAUAUGAGACCAUACCUCACGCUUGACAAGAUUAACCUGGAUUAUUUCCUUGAAGAUUAAGUCAUUAAGAAGUAGCUAUUCAACAGAGAGGAAAUGAGAAAUUUAUCAGGUUUGUUUAUUUGUUAGUGACAUCUCUAGUAGCAUCUGCACUACAUAAAAAUCCUGUGCUGGUUGGGUUUAUACACCGGAUUCUGGUUAAGAGUAUGCUGAAAAGGAAGGUCUGGAAAGGAUAUUUGAGUAAAAAGCACGAAGAGUAUACAGCAACAGCCAUCUGACACUCUGUGUUCUUUACCUCCCAUUUUUCCCACAGCUGUGUCUAGGUUCACUUGCCAUACACUAAUCUCUUUGUGAAUGAAAAGUGUGGUUAUUUGCCAGUACGUUACCAACCAACCAAACCAAGUUGAAGUAAUCUCUCAUCCAAUGUUCCCUAGAGUUAGGCUUAAGCAAUUUAUUAUCAAUGUUUGGGAGAAAUCCUAAUGUCAUUUGUUGU